RNAcentral lists this ribosomal RNA (372 nucleotides) under uncultured Glomeromycotina. Its description in RNAcentral is "LSU rRNA". The record is from RNAcentral. Lineage: Eukaryota; Fungi; Glomeromycota.
UUGAAAGGGAAACGAUUGAAGUCAGUCGUACCUGUGGGUAAUCAGCCUUUUGGGUGUGAUUNUGUGGAGNGUGAGGAGUUAAACGCCUUCAUGCCUGCAUAUUCGGGCACUUUGUAAGGAUUUACCCGGGUGGCAUGAUACCCUCCAUUUCGGNCCGAUAAAAUGGCUGGAGUAAUGNAGCUUCGAUCUUGUUUUGGAGUGUUAUAGCCUUCGGAAGAUGUGAUAAUCGGGAUUGAGGAUUGCAACGGAUACCCCUCGGAGCUACCUGUCUGAUCUCUGAUCGAUGCUCUGGUGCCGAAAGCUUGCUCACGGUUAUCAAAGGCGAUGGCCAAUAGGUUAGAACGGUUUAAAUUCGCUAAGGCUGUUGACGUA